UUUCCAAUGUUUUGGGAUUAGGGAUUUGGCUACUUGAAUAAGAUAAAAGGUAAGUGUAUCAUCUAGUAUCUUGUGGUUCUCCAAAUUUACAUUUAGUAGCAUUGUUACUUGGUCUUCCAUCUGUACCUUGACUGAUGUGAUUAUUUUUACGCUUUCUAAUAUUUGUUCCCAGUAAUCCUUCAGUUUAGGGCAGGUUAACCACAUAUGUAAAUGAUUUCCAACUUUAUCGUUGCAUCUCCAGCACCCGUGAUGCUUUUGUGGGUAUAUUUUAUUUAGCCUUGCUGGGGUUAGAUGCCACCUUGUGAUUAUUUUAUAGAUUGCUUCUUUCAUUUUUGACGCCCUGGCUUUUUUGUUUCCUUUCUUAAUAAUAUUCACCCACAUUUGUUCUGGUAUAUUGACUCCCAGUUGUUUCUCCCAGGAGCGACAAAACGAUGGUAAUUUAUAUUCACCUGAAUUUAGAAGAAUAUCGUAUACCUUUGAGAGAGGUUUCAUCAGGUCUGGGUACAAACCCUGCUUGAUCCUGAUGAAUAAUUGAAGCUUGGAGCCCAAGGCUAUCAGAUAGCCUCUUAAGACGCAUUUUACAGUUUCCCAUAGAGUUGACGAUGAUAUUUCUGGUGUUAAAUUGUUUGUUACUAUUUGUUUAAUCCAUUUUUGUAUCAUAUCCUUAUUGUCUGCGUUAUGUAGUAGAAAUUAAUUUAAUCGCCAAUUAAAUUCUGGUUUAAUUACUCCUGGUAUCAUAUAUUUCGUGAUUACCGGUGCAUGAUCUGAUGUUAAUGAUGUGGCUAUAUCGGCUUUUUGGAAUAAAUGUGCCCAUUGUUGUGAUACCAUUAUAUAAUCUAUUCGUGAAUAAACCUGAUAUUGCUUUGAAUAAUGUGAAUAGUCUUUUUUUUGUGGGUUCAUUGUACGCCAUACAUCCACUAAGUGGAGAUCAGUUAAUGAUUUUUUUACUCGCUUAAGGUUUUUAUAAGAUAUACUAGUUUUGCCAGAAGAGGAGUCUAUAAGCGGAUUCAGCGUAAUAUUGAA
Molecule: long non-coding RNA, 1023 nt
Organism: Xenopus laevis (African clawed frog)
Lineage: Eukaryota; Metazoa; Chordata; Amphibia; Anura; Pipidae
Exons: 3
Source: RefSeq, a predicted model, not a curated record